UGUUGCCAAGAUCAUAUCAUUUCAUAACCAGAUUUAAUUAAAAGAGCAGUUUAGAUGCCUGGCACCCAGCUUCUCUUAGUUCAAAGCCUUUUCCCUGAAUCUAAAUCCCAGAACCAGCAGAGGAACAGCACCCAUCACCCAAGAGAAAGCAGGUUGUUCAGAGUUUACCAAUGUAUUACAUGUCUUCUUAAGCUUCUAAUUGCUACUCUGGCAUAGCAACGACUCCUGUUGCUGUAGGGAGCUGUAGAAAACCCCACCAGGCUGCUUUUUUGGAAGUUGAUAGACACCCUGCUCUGCAAGCCAGAUACAGACACCAGAGUGUGGCAGAAUCACCUGGAAACAAACACAGCACAGGAGCCUUCCAAUUGCUCGGACUGGCAACCAAAACACAGCCUGUUGUGCUGCAUGGGGACAAUCCAUUUUUUAUUUACUGUCUGGAGAAGGAUCAGUACUUCCACUGUGCCAUAGCAGGCAGUUUUUAAGUGAGCAUAUCCCCAGCUGUGACCUGCAGCUGCACUUCUGAUGAGUGAAGUGUGUCUGUGCAACCUUGCAUUGGCCUCCCUCCAGUACAGUCACUCUGACUUUUACUGACUGAAGGAAAUGACUGAAGAAGCAUCUUAUCAACAUAUGCUCCAAAUGUCCAAGGGAGAGCAGCUGAAUCUGCAGGAACACGGUUCUGGGGCUCAGCCAAUAUUAAGACAUCAGUGUUCAGGAUUUUCUCCCACUCUUCCAGUCUAUCAGGGAAGUGAAGCACACACAGACAGAUGAUGUGCUCACUCUACAGGGGCUGUGUUCCAGCUCUGUUACAGACAGAUCUGAGCCCAAAAUUGGGGGGCCAAACAGGACCCCCACAGUGCUGGUCCCCUUCUUACUUAACAUCCUCUCUAUUUUGUUAACACUUGAACUACCAAAUCAGAGUUCACUUAGCCUGACAACAGAGGCUCAAAGAUUUUUCCAGCCUAUGAAACCCCAUAGCAGACCACAAGCACACUGCUUCUGAAACACAGGAGGUUUGGAUUGGAAGGUUAAAGCUCAUCUCAUUCCACCACCCUGCCAUGGGCAGCAAUACCUUCCCCUAGACCAGGUUGCUUCAAGCUCUGUCCAACCUGGCCUUGGACACUUCAAGAAGAAGCCACAGCUUCUCUGGCUGUGCCAGUGUUUCACCACUCUCACAGCACAGAAUUUAUUCCUCAUAUCCCUUUUAACUCUACCCUCUCUCAGUCCUAUCCUUACAUGUUGCUUUCUAAGCCCAAACAUGAAUCUGUUUCUAAUUAACAGUGAUGAUUUGCAUCAUAUAAAGGCAAUUCAGCAUAAGUGUCUUCAGCCCUCCAAACAUUCUGACAGUUAAGAUCCCAUCCCCAAAACACUCUGUAAAGGCUCUGCAUUGCAUCCUGCUCUGCCCUGGAAGCUCUCCCAGAGGUUCUACCACCUUCUGUCUGACAGCAUCUGACCCUCACACCUCGUCUGACAGCACCUGUGCUGCUGCCCAAUGGAUGAUUGCUCCAGGACAUGCACAAGGUGUGCAAGUGGUUCAGUCACAGACACAGGUGAUACCACUCCAGCCUCUCCAAAAGUCUUGCCAGAAAAUUUUCAUUAGGAAACUCACAGACAGUGAUUCUUAUGGCUGCCUUUAGUUACUGCACUCUCCUCCUCGGAAACUUCUCUCAUCCCUCCCCUGCUCUCAAGCACCUUGUACAACUCGAUUAAAGGUUGUCAGACUCCUCCUGCAGACUGAACUUGCUACAGCACUUUCCUGUUGACUCAAAGCACUUUCCUGCCCACUGUAACAAAUAAAACUCGAGCUAUUCUAGUUUCUUCCUCAGUCACCAGCCGGAUCCUUUGGUAAUCUAAACGCUCAGAUUUACACCAGAGUCACCCAGAGAUCUUUGCCGUGCUUUUAUUUUCGCUUAUCCCCUCUGUAAUCUCCUCCCACCUGAGCCUUGCUCUGCAUCAUCCCCAGCAGAGGCAAUGAGAGAACACAUCUCCGAGCUGCUUUGCAUGACAGAGCAACAGAAAUCACACAAACCUGGGCACAUUUCUAAGCUCAGCAGACCACUGCACCCAUUCCUAACUACAGACAUCCUUCACUGGGCUCGAGACUCUCCAGGUGCUGCACUGCCCUGAGGUUCUGAGAGCUGUGAAAUUAAUAAUGAAAUAUCUUGGGUAGCUUAGCAUGAAGGCAGGAAGAUUACAAAUUAGCAUUAAGUUUUAUUCAGGUUUGGCCGGAGGGCAGGAGUGCAUCCUAGUGUUAAGGGAAGAAAAAAACCUGAAAAAAACCUCAAAGAUUUAAAGAGUCAGGAUGAGUAUUCAGAGCCAGGUAUGGAUAUUCCAUAUAUUACAAUCAGCUCACAAAAAACCAUCUGCCUCCAAUGUUUGCCUUUGGCUGUACAUGUAGGGGUUAAUUCACAGUGCAAAGAUUUGCACAGUUCAGGGGAACAACUCGUUGCUCAAAGCAUGAUUUGACCCCAGAAUACAACACCUAGUCCAGUUACUGCCUGAGUGCCAUCAGGCAGAUUACUCAGCCCAGGGCUCCUGCUGGAAACAAAAGUUGUAAACAGAAUUUGAAGGAACAUGAGUUAUGGUCAGCUCCAAAGAUGAGUAUAUUGGGGAGCUCUCAGCACACUGCACUUCAGGCUUGCUCUUCCUCUACAUUUAGAACAUUCAAGCUCUAAGUUAAUUAAACCCCUCAGCUUCUCAUGGUAGAGAUAACUUGCAUGCAGUGUUCUCCUCCAGCACUCAGAUGGGGCAUAUGAAGCCUUCAACCAACAAACAAUGCAAGAGAAAUAGUUCUAACUUAAAGAAUAACAGGUAAAACUCACCUCAUUUCCUCCAGUCUGAAUUCUCUACAGAAAAGAAGGUUUUUUUUCUUCUGCUAGCCAGCAUGCUGACCACUCAGUCCAGGUGGCAGAAUUCCCCAGGAGGCCCAGACUGCUCCUGAUCCUCACAAUUUUUAAUGAUCCCAGCUGGCCCUCAUCCCCAGCCUGAUUAAUUAACCCAAAAGUGUUUUUCCACUUAUUGGGGCUCUGUGUCUCUUUGCAAGGAAACAAAGUGAAGAAGAGAAAGGGAAAAGCUCGAGCUGGCACUCAUCCAAACAUAUAUCUUUGCGUGGAAGAUAAUAUCCCUGGGGAGGAAAAAGGACACAGUAAGCUUUCCAGGACAUAGUGCAGCAAAAGGGUGCUGUGUUAUGCACUUUUUGGGCUUUUUUGCCCCUAUUAAAAAAGUCAGCAGGUUUUUUCAGACACUUUAUAUUGCCUCCUUUCACAGUUCAGAGGCAUCAAUCACAGAGGAAGCUCAGGACCAGCCCUCCUUCCCAAUAAAUCCACACUGAAAGCAGCAAA
Molecule: long non-coding RNA, 3338 nt
Organism: Pseudopipra pipra
Lineage: Eukaryota; Metazoa; Chordata; Aves; Passeriformes; Pipridae
Exons: 2
Source: RefSeq, a predicted model, not a curated record